Molecule: long non-coding RNA, 1474 nt
Filed under: Nothobranchius furzeri (turquoise killifish)
Lineage: Eukaryota; Metazoa; Chordata; Actinopteri; Cyprinodontiformes; Nothobranchiidae
Description: lncRNA (ENSNFUG00015021311.1)
Source: RNAcentral
AUGUUCUCCUCCUUUCCCCUUGACCAUCCACUCCUGAGGGACUUGAAAGAGCUGGACCCUGCUGCUCGCCUCGACAUCCCUCCAGGGACAGUGGAAAGGCUAUGGGCCAUGCUCCCUCAGUUGAGCUUGAGUGAAGAUAGGCUGAGAGACGAACUCAUUGACUACCAGGUGACAGAUAGCAAGCACCUCCCCCAAGAAGACAACAUUGACAGAUUCUGGGGCCUGCUAGGGAAGGAUGUGAGGUUGUGUGAGCUGCCAAGAUUAAUGAAGGCUUUACUCUGCAUUCCCCACAGCAAUUCCAGUUCUGAAAGGGUGUUUGGUAUGGUGAGAAAGAUUGUUACAGAGAAUAGGAUGUCAUUAGAAAACAGCACCGUUUGUGCUUUACUGUCAUGUAAAAUCGACCACUCUGGCCUGGCCAGCAAAUACACUCCUUCCAAAAAAGUGUUAAAGAAUGCAAAAUCUGCAACAAAUUUGUGUAAUAAGUCAUUAGUGAAGGUCAGAGAGCCACGUGAGUGAACAUCAGUGGCGUCGGACUGGGGGGGGAAAGGGUACCGUUUACCCAGGGCCCACUGCAGGGAGGGGCCCUGAGACAGCUUUGAAUAAAAAUGUUUUAUUGUUGUUGUUUUUUCCCCCCAACUUACUUAAUGUCUUAAUAAACUUCCCUUUACCUGGAUAAAGAGGUUAAGAAACUGAAUUUCGCCUUAAAAAUAAUAACUGAAUAAUCUCUGAGGCAUCUAUCACCCCUUAAAAAUGUGCAAAGUGGUUUAGUCCACACAAGCGGCCAGGGGCUGCACGCCGCAUGUACAGCUAAUGAGACAUCGCAGAUGCCGACAGCCAGAGCUGGAAGCAGGAGAGUCAGUCAUGUCUUUUCCCAAGAACGGGAAAUCUGGCUUCCAGAAAAGAAAAGAAAAGAAGGAGAAGGAGAAAAAGUUAAUUGAACAGAAGCAAAUAUUGACUAGGUUUUUCAAGAAGGAAGGUGAGCAGCAGCCAGCAGCAGAACACAGUUUUAGCUGAUAUUAGCUAGCUCUCAGAAGCUGCAUUCAUGUUAGUUGUUCAGUGUUAAACGCCUUUAGUUUCACCAUCAAGAUCAAAUAUAAAUUAAUUAGUGUUAUCAUUGAAAACACUAAUUAAUGUAUAUAUUGUAGUGACCCCGAGCAUCUCAGCGGCAGUCCCCAACUCAACCAGCAGGAGGCAGUAGUGGUUCACACCAGACCUUUAUUGGGCUUCUUCUUCAACCCUUUGUAACACUACAGACACCGAACUUCUAUCACGCUCCUACCACACAGAGUCACGGUGUCAGUUAACCAUGCUAAUUCAACCCGCUCCACAGAACACACAUCACCUUCCCUGUGGCUUACAUUAACAUAACACUCAAAUCAACACAUAGAAACUAGCAGAGGGAUAGGAAACACAUAUAACACAAUACCCAGAAUGCACCUGGCUUACAACCCCAGCCAGGUCAUUACACUAUCAA